Molecule: ribosomal RNA, 704 nt
Filed under: Clostridioides difficile
Lineage: Bacteria; Bacillati; Bacillota; Clostridia; Peptostreptococcales; Peptostreptococcaceae
Description: bacterial LSU rRNA
Rfam family: Bacterial large subunit ribosomal RNA
Source: RNAcentral
CAACAACAGACUCGGUGAAAUUGUAAUUCCGGUGAAGAUGCCGGAUACCUGCGACAGGACGGAAAGACCCCAUGGAGCUUUACUGUAGCUUGACAUUGGGUCUUGGUACUACAUGUACAGGAUAGGUGGGAGGCUUUGAAACCAGGACGCCAGUUUUGGCGGAGCCAUCCUUGGGAUACCACCCUUGUAGUACUGGGACUCUAACCAUAGGCCAUGAAUCUGGUCUUGGGACACUGUCAGGUGGGCAGUUUGACUGGGGCGGUCGCCUCCCAAAAGGUAACGGAGGCGCUCAAAGGUUCUCUCAGUACGGUCGGAAAUCGUACGUAGAGUGUAAAGGCAAAAGAGAGCUUGAUUGCAAGACAUACAGGUCGAGCAAGGAUGAAAAUCGGACUUAGUGAUCCGGUGGUUCUGCGUGGAAGGGCCAUCGCUCAACGGAUAAAAGCUACCCUGGGGAUAACAGGCUUAUCUCCCCCAAGAGUCCACAUCGACGGGGAGGUUUGGCACCUCGAUGUCGGCUCAUCACAUCCUGGGGCUGUAGUAGGUCCCAAGGGUUGGGCUGUUCGCCCAUUAAAGUGGUACGCGAGCUGGGUUCAGAACGUCGUGAGACAGUUCGGUCCCUAUCCGUCGCAGGCGUAGGAAAUUUGAGAAGACCUGUCCUUAGUACGAGAGGACCGGGAUGGACGUACCUCUGGUGUACCAGUUGU